RNAcentral lists this ribosomal RNA (263 nucleotides) under uncultured archaeon. RNAcentral's name for it is "partial 16S ribosomal RNA". It matches the Rfam family "Archaeal small subunit ribosomal RNA", at positions 748 to 1008 of the family's 1478-position model. The record is from RNAcentral.
CAGCCGUAAACUAUGCGCGUUAGGUGUAUCGGUGACCACGAGUCACCGAGGUGCCGAAGGGAAACCGUGAAACGUGCCGCCUGGGAAGUACGGUCGCAAGGCUGAAACUUAAAGGAAUUGGCGGGGGAGCACCACAACAGGUGGAGCCUGCGGGUUUAAUUUGGACUCAACGCCGGGAAGCUCACCGGAUAGGACAGCAGAAUGAUUGCCGGGCUGAAGACCCUGCGUGACUAGCUGAGAGGUGGUGCAUGGCGUCAGUGACU